AUGAACGCUGGCGGCGUGCCUCAUACAUGCACGUCGCGCGAACAGACGAGGAGCUUGCUCCUCUGACGUUAGCGGCGGACGGGUGAGUAACACGUGGAUAACCUACCUAUAAGACUGGGAUAACUUCGGGAAACCGGAGCUAAUACCGGAUAAUAUAUUGAACCGCAUGGUUCAAUAGUGAAAGACGGUUUUGCUGUCACUUAUAGAUGGAUCCGCGCCGCAUUAGCUAGUUGGUAAGGUAACGGCUUACCAAGGCAACGAUGCGUAGCCGACCUGAGAGGGUGAUCGGCCACACUGGAACUGAGACACGGUCCAGACUCCUACGGGAGGCAGCAGUAGGGAAUCUUCCGCAAUGGGCGAAAGCCUGACGGAGCAACGCCGCGUGAGUGAUGAAGGUCUUCGGAUCGUAAAACUCUGUUAUUAGGGAAGAACAAAUGUGUAAGUAACUAUGCACGUCUUGACGGUACCUAAUCAGAAAGCCACGGCUAACUACGU
Molecule: ribosomal RNA, 495 nt
Filed under: uncultured bacterium
Lineage: Bacteria
Description: partial 16S ribosomal RNA
Rfam family: Bacterial small subunit ribosomal RNA
Source: RNAcentral